GGGCACGCAGCCCGUGCACUACACUUGGGACCAGACCGAGAAGAUUAGCGUGGCCCCCACGCGAGGGUGAUGUGCAAAUUUGUGACGUGUAUGAAACGUAU
Molecule: small nuclear RNA, 101 nt
Organism: Ailuropoda melanoleuca (giant panda)
Lineage: Eukaryota; Metazoa; Chordata; Mammalia; Carnivora; Ursidae
Source: Ensembl